AGCGGCGGACGGGUGAGUAACACGUGGGUAACCUGCCUGUAAGACUGGGAUAACUCCGGGAAACCGGAGCUAAUACCGGAUAGUUCCUUGAACCGCAUGGUUCAAGGAUGAAAGACGGUUUCGGCUGUCACUUACAGAUGGACCCGCGGCGCAUUAGCUAGUUGGUGGGGUAAUGGCUCACCAAGGCGACGAUGCGUAGCCGACCUGAGAGGGUGAUCGGCCACACUGGGACUGAGACACGGCCCAGACUCCUACGGGAGGCAGCAGUAGGGAAUCUUCCGCA
Molecule: ribosomal RNA, 283 nt
Filed under: Bacillus sp. (in: firmicutes)
Lineage: Bacteria; Bacillati; Bacillota; Bacilli; Caryophanales; Bacillaceae
Description: Bacillus sp. (in: Bacteria) partial 16S ribosomal RNA
Rfam family: Bacterial small subunit ribosomal RNA
Source: RNAcentral